RNAcentral lists this ribosomal RNA (479 nucleotides) under uncultured bacterium. RNAcentral's name for it is "partial 16S ribosomal RNA". It matches the Rfam family "Bacterial small subunit ribosomal RNA", at positions 29 to 523 of the family's 1533-position model. The record is from RNAcentral.
AACAAACGCUGGCGGCGUGCCUAAUACAUGCAAGUCGAACGGGGAAAGCUUUCGGGUGAGUACUAGUGGCGCACGGGUGAGUAACGCGUGGAUAAUCUGCCCUCGAAUGGGGAAUAACUAGUCGAAAGAUUAGCUAAUACCGCAUAAGACCACGACUACUGAGGUAGUUGGGGUCAUAGGAGCAAUUCGUUUGAGGAUGAGUCCGCGUAAGAUUAGCUAGUUGGUGAGGUAAUGGCUCACCAAGGCGAUGAUCUUUAACUGGUCUGAGAGGAUGAUCAGUCACACUGGAACUGAGACACGGUCCAGACUCCUACGGGAGGCAGCAGUAGGGAAUAUUGGACAAUGGGGGCAACCCUGAUCCAGCGACGCCGCGUGAGCGAUGAAGGCCUUCGGGUCGUAAAGCUCUGUUGUAAGGGAAAAAGUUCUGAUUGUACCUUACGAGAAAGGAUCGGCUAACUUCGUGCCAGCAGCCGCCGUAA